UUAGGCCUGGCUGCAGUAGAGAGGGCCCGAAAAAGGCAGGCGUCCCGAAUAACUUGGCUCCGGGCUGGCGAUGCGCCGACUGCCUUCUUUCAGGCGAAGAUUAGCUCCAGAGCCCGGAAAAACUUCAUCCAUGCGCUGCACGGACCAGCUGGGGCAGUCACUGCACAGGAGGACAAGGAGAAACUGAUCCAUGAUCAUUUCCACUCCUUGUUGGGCUCGACGGCGCCGCGGAGUGCCACCAUCAACUGGACCGCACUACAACUACCACAAAUCCACGGUGGUGGCCUCGACAAUCCUUUCACAGAAGAAGUGUGGCUUGUGAUCAAGUCCUCCCCGGCUGAGCGAUCGCCGGGGCUGGACGGCUUCUCCGGCAGCUUCUUCAGAUCCUGUUGGGCGCUGAUCAAAAGCGACAUCAUGGCAGCCUUCUCUCAAUUCUACAAUCUUGCUGGCAGAAACUUCGCCAUGCUCAACACAGCCCUAGUAGCUCUCCUACCAAAAAAAGAUGGGGCAUCCACCAUUAGUGAUUAUAGGCCUAUUAGUCUGAUCCACUCCAUCGCCAAGCUUAUCUCCAAAGUGCUGUCGAUGAGGGUGGCCACGGUCAUACACACCCUCGUCUCCCCAGCUCAGUCGGCCUUCCUUCGCACCAAAUGCAUCCACGAUAGCUUCCUGUACGUCCAGAAUUGCGUCAAAGCUCUCCACCGAAAAAAGACCCUAAGCUAG
This 720-nucleotide ribosomal RNA is filed under the name Triticum aestivum (bread wheat). RNAcentral describes it as "partial small subunit ribosomal RNA". The record is from RNAcentral. Lineage: Eukaryota; Viridiplantae; Streptophyta; Magnoliopsida; Poales; Poaceae.